This is a long non-coding RNA of Sitophilus oryzae (rice weevil), 408 nucleotides long. RefSeq lists it as uncharacterized. The transcript has 3 exons. The record is from RefSeq and is a predicted model, not a curated record. NCBI's taxonomy places the organism in Eukaryota, Metazoa, Arthropoda, Insecta, Coleoptera, Curculionidae.
AAAAUUUUCGUUGUUUUCGUGUCUGUGUGUGUUGUGCCGUCCUUUGAAUAAUAUCAAAAUUCUUCGUGUUAUGCUUUCUGAAAAUCGGAACGAGGGGCGCCGGAGUGAUGUGGGACUUUCGGGAAAACGACGCGUCGCUGUACGAUAGGUUCCUGUCUCAGAUGUUCUACGCGCAGGAGGUCCAAACGGAGACGAGCGUCAGCCGCGACGUUACAACAGCCACUACGUCCGGUCCACUUCCUGGAGACUUAGACAGAGGGAUUAAUUUCAAGUCCAAGUUUCUCGCUUUCGUCUUCAACCAAUUUUCGAAGCUGCAGUAACUCUUCCUCGUUUCCCGCUAGAAGGACCGUAUUGUCUGCAAAUCUGAGGUUGGUAAUUUUGUGACCAUUAAUUGUUAUCCCCCCUUGC